GGCUCGCUCAUCGCCGCUCUCACACCGUGGCCCGUCCACAGUUGUCUGCUGACACCGAGUCCCAGGACACCUUUCACCGAGAAACAGAUUCUGCACAAUUUGGAGUUAUGGAUGCUUUCUCUCUGCAAAUAUCAGCUUCAUGGGGUGGGUUGUUUUCUUGUCUUCUUGGAAAUGCCAAAUGGUUUGCUUCAAUUGUUUGGCGAGAUCCUUCAUCUGUUCAUGUUUUGGUCGAUUCAUGUUUUCUUUGUAAUGGUUUUGGUCAGGUGUGAAAAGGGCAAAGUUUACAGCAUUUUCAAAGCAUUGUAUAUUUUGUCCUUGGAAAAUUUUAUGUAAAAUCUCCAUUACACUGACUUGUUCUUUAUAAGUCAGUGUUUUCUAGACAAUACAGUUCAUAAUGCAUGUCCAUUCUUCUAAGCUUUACCUCAGACUCCACUCUUGUAACUUCAAUUGCAAGAUGGGAGCAAGAUGAAACUAUUUUUGAUAAUUCUGGCAACAGUGGCGUGUAGAGUCACAACAAAAGUAAGAAAAAUGGCGUAACUCAAACAAAGUUUAAAGAUAUUUCAAAACAAUCUUCCAUGUUGUGUUAUCCUGAAGAGAAGUGACAUCUGUGGUCAAACUUAGUAUUCUAGCCAUAAAUUUGUAGACGACUCGCAGCAUUUACACUGUGAAGCUGGAUUAUAAUCACUCUAUAGUUAUCACUAAUGGAUUGUGCCUUUUUUUUUUUACUUUAGAAAAACUGUAAAUGUUUGUCUUAAUAAAGUUCAAUCACAUUCAAUUGUGAUUCAUUUUAAAUAGGGAUGCUAAAUAAACCCUGUGACAUACAUGGGUACAUUUAAAAAUGGUUCUGGGUUGGAGCUCUCGCAUCGAAUCACAGUUGUCAUAAUAUUAUCACGUGCAACAGCAAAGGACUCUCUGGAUGCGAUAUUUGGUACAGCAAUAUUUCAAGUGUGAUGCAUUUGCACGCUGUUUGCAAAAACCUGACUCACUGCUUAUGAUGCACAAAGUCGGAAUAAUUGUAAGUGAGAUGUCAAAGUUUGUGGCUAGCUGGUAGAAACUUCUUGAUGACAAUAAAGAACCAGAAAGAGGUGAGAUAUGCAAUUCAUUUGGAUUCGAUAAUAAAAAUAAAAGCUGUUGAAUUGCAUCCGUCCCCAUAUAUGCAGACAACUGCUUUAUGUGCUUGAAAAGGUUGAAUAUGAAAAGAUCAAAGCUGCUAAUGUAAGGAGAGACCCUUCUUUAAAAAUACACACCAACAAAUGGACUCAAAGGAUUAGACCGUUCACAUCCUUGUUUGACCCUGCAGUCUUUACUUCAAGCGGUAUACAGGAGGUGGGUAAUGCAACAUAACAAAGGUCUGCUGAGAAACAUUCAAAGGAACUUUGUGCAAGGAUAGUAGGAAAAAGCACUAAAGGCUCUGUUUUCAAUCAAAAGAUGCACUGGUCAGAUAAUAAUAAAGAAAACCUUACAGAAGACACUUCUUUGGUACCAAUAACGAACAAGCCCACAAAUAAAACGUUGCAUUUUGGCAGAUCUUUUGCCCUGUUGUCCUGUGUUCUAAUCCGCAACAUAAACAACAUUGACUCUCAAUGUCACAUGUGGACUGCAGACCCUUGGCUCCGAUUAGCUUCUUACUGCAGCAGGGUAAGCGUGUGUGGAACCCACGUGGGGCCAGAGAGUAAUCUUUACUUAAAAAUGUCAGCUUGUUAAACUCAUUUGAUCUGUCUUACAUCAUCCCUUCUUGACAUCUCAACAUGCAAAAGGGAAAAUAAGUAUUGAACACGUCGACUUUUUGGAUAAAUGUCAUAAAAUUCUCACCGGGUCCAUGAUUAGGGUGAAGGUGUUAAACGAGAGUCAUACAGCGAAUAGUUAUUGAAUACCUAGUCAAAAUGGUCUUUAAAAACCACAGGAAAAAAAAAACAAACAGGAAAAUUAGUUCUAUCAAUAUUUGGAAAGCAAUCAGGGCAGAAUGGCUAGUUUGGUAGUAAUUGAUAGUCUGCAACCUUAUUGUUGCGAAACAUACCGAAGCGAUAAUCUUUUCUGAACUUCUCAAUAUUCCAUUGACCACAGUUGAAGCCAUAAUCCAGAAGUGGAACUAACAUAAUUUCACCAUAAAACAACUAGUUGCUCCUCUGUCUAAAGAGUCAAAAAGUAAGGGAAACAAGAAGUAAUGCACUCAAAUUCCACAUUACACACUCACAGCACAAUGCUCCACUAAUGAAAAAAAAUAAUUGAAGUUUUCUUAACGCUUGCUGGAGAGUAUUGGACAAGCAGGGGGAGUAUGGUCUGGUCAAACGUGACCAAAGUUAAAAUAUUUUGAUGUCACUGGACAUCACCAAAACAAAAGCCACACUAAAAGUGAGUCUUGAAGGUGUGAACCUCAUGAUGUGACGAGGACCGUGUAACUGAAGGGAUGACGUAUUUGCAUAUUUACCGAGAUAUUCUUAACUAGAAUCUAAAGAUGAAACGAGGGCGUAACUUUGUGCGUGACAAUGAUCCCAAGGAAACCCUCAUUUGGUUUCAGGGAAAGAAAGUUCAGCUGUUGAAAUGACCAAUUCAAUCACCAAACUAGAACAUUAAAAAUCAGAACACUUAAGAUUUGAAGACUGUUUCAAAGUCACACCUGAGAAAUGCAGGCCAUGCUAGUUUCUGAAUGCAGGAGAUGGCACAACAGGGCACAGUCUUAGUUAAAAGAAAAAUCAACAUCUCUCCUAUUAAAGCACCUGUCUCACAGCCGCUUCUAUCAUACUGGUAUAGACGGCACGCUAAGCUUCUUAAGGAACACAUCCUCAACUUCAGUGUGGCGUUAGGCUGGCAGUGGAUAGCCAGUGGUAAUCCGGUGUCAAACACUCAUGCAUACACCAUUGAUUAAGUCUACUCCUAUCCUUAAAUACAAAAUCGUUAUAUUUUAACAGGAUAUUUACAUAUUUGCAUAACUUACAUUACCUAUUUUCACACCUGAAUAUCCUACAGCAAACUAGAUGGAUUAAGGAAACUGGCAAACACAUACCAACCUGUGUCCUAUAGAAAAAUGGAAUAAUCAAUUAAAACAGUCAAACCAAGUACAAAAAAAAAAAAAGAGAGUAAACUCAAGCCGACACCAGGAAGAAACAGAUUCUGUUACAUCCCCAGAACUGUCAUCACGUCACUACCGUGUGCAACUCACCACAGGCCUGGGUUGCCCUUGGCCGUUUCACAGAAGAAGUGGUUGAAAAGAUCUCUGGUGUUGAAGUUGCCCAGCAUAGUUGUGAAAUGAGAACAUGAACCUGCUGGCCAGCCAACCUAUGACUGCGGUAGGGAACCACUAAUCCUCCAUCACAUGACCCGCAGCUCAAUAAUCCCUUCUGGGUCUGACAGCACCUGGUCCAAAUGGGCUGACAGCCAAAGUGUGUAGAAGUUAAAGGUAACGUGGGUAAAUCUAUCUGAUUCUUAGAUACUGGUAAAAAAAAAGA
This is a non-coding RNA of Poecilia reticulata (guppy), 3446 nucleotides long. Lineage: Eukaryota; Metazoa; Chordata; Actinopteri; Cyprinodontiformes; Poeciliidae. The record is from RefSeq and is a predicted model, not a curated record.